Molecule: ribosomal RNA, 986 nt
Filed under: Campylobacter coli
Lineage: Bacteria; Pseudomonadati; Campylobacterota; Epsilonproteobacteria; Campylobacterales; Campylobacteraceae
Description: partial 23S ribosomal RNA
Rfam family: Bacterial large subunit ribosomal RNA
Source: RNAcentral
AAAAAAGGUAAGCUACUAAGAGCGAAUGGUGGAUGCCUUGACUGGUAAAGGCGAUGAAGGACGUACUAGACUGCGAUAAGCUACGGGGAGCUGUCAAGAAGCUUUGAUCCGUAGAUUUCCGAAUGGGGCAACCCAAUGUAUAGAGAUAUACAUUACCUAUAUAGGAGCGAACGAGGGGAAUUGAAACAUCUUAGUACCCUCAGGAAAAGAAAUCAAUAGAGAUUGCGUCAGUAGCGGCGAGCGAAAGCGCAAGAGGGCAAACCCAGUGCUUGCACUGGGGGUUGUAGGACUGCAAUGUGCAAGAGGUGAGUUUAGCAGAACAUUCUGGAAAGUAUAGCCAUAGAGGGUGAUAGUCCCGUAUGCGAAAAACAAACCUUAGCUAGCAGUAUCCUGAGUAGGGCGGGACACGAGAAAUCCUGUCUGAAGCUGGGUCGACCACGAUCCAACCCUAAAUACUAAUACCAGAUCGAUAGUGCACAAGUACCGUGAGGGAAAGGUGAAAAGAACUGAGGUGAUCAGAGUGAAAUAGAACCUGAAACCAUUUGCUUACAAUCAUUCAGAGCCCUAUGUAGCAAUACAGGGUGAUGGACUGCCUUUUGCAUAAUGAGCCUGCGAGUUGUGGUGUCUGGCAAGGUUAAGCAAACGCGAAGCCGUAGCGAAAGCGAGUCUGAAUAGGGCGCUUAGUCAGAUGCUGCAGACCCGAAACGAAGUGAUCUAUCCAUGAGCAAGUUGAAGCUAGUGUAAGAACUAGUGGAGGACUGAACCCAUAGGCGUUGAAAAGCCCCGGGAUGACUUGUGGAUAGGGGUGAAAGGCCAAUCAAACUUCGUGAUAGCUGGUUCUCUCCGAAAUAUAUUUAGGUAUAGCGUUGUGUCGUAAUAUAAGGGGGUAGAGCACUGAAUGGGCUAGGGCAUACACCAAUGUACCAAACCCUAUCAAACUCCGAAUACCUUAUAUGUAAUCACAGCAGUCAGGCGGCGAGUGAUAA